CCUACGGGAGGCAGCAGUGGGGAAUUUUGGACAAUGGGCGAAAGCCUGAUCCAGCCAUUCCGCGUGCAGGACGAAGGCCUUCGGGUUGUAAACUGCUUUUGUACGGAACGAAAGGCUCUGCCCUAAUACGGCGGAGAUAUGACGGUACCGUAAGAAUAAGCACCGGCUAACUACGUGCCAGCAGCCGCGGUAAUACGUAGGGUGCAAGCGUUAAUCGGAAUUACUGGGCGUAAAGCGUGCGCAGGCGGUUAUAUAAGUCAGAUGUGAAAUCCCCGGGCUCAACCUGGGAACUGCAUUUGAGACUGUAUAGCUGGAGUACGGCAGAGGGGGAUGGAAUUCCGCGUGUAGCAGUGAAAUGCGUAGAUAUGCGGAGGAACACCGAUGGCGAAGGCAAUCCCCUGGGCCUGUACUGACGCUCAUGCACGAAAGCGUGGGGAGCAAACAGGAUUAGAUACCCUGGUAGUCCACGCCCUAAACGAUGUCAACUGGUUGUUGGGUCUUCACUGACUCAGUAACGAAGCUAACGCGUGAAGUUGACCGCCUGGGGAGUACGGCCGCAAGGUUGAAACUCAAAUGAAUUGACGG
Molecule: ribosomal RNA, 585 nt
Filed under: uncultured beta proteobacterium
Lineage: Bacteria; Pseudomonadati; Pseudomonadota; Betaproteobacteria
Description: bacterial SSU rRNA
Rfam family: Bacterial small subunit ribosomal RNA
Source: RNAcentral